AACACUUUAUUAAACCAAUAUCUGAGAAAAUUUUAAUAAAUAAAUUAAAACUUUCAACAACGGAUCUCUUGGUUCUCGCAUCGAUGAAGAACGCAGCAAAAUGCGAUAAGUAAUGUGAAUUGCAGAAUUGUGAAUCAUCGAAUCUUUGAACGCACAUUGCGCCUUUUGGAAUUCCGAAAGGCAUGCCUGUUUGAGCGUCAU
This 201-nucleotide ribosomal RNA is filed under the name Zygoascus sp. Its description in RNAcentral is "5.8S ribosomal RNA". The stretch from base 49 to 200 matches the Rfam family "5.8S ribosomal RNA". From Rfam's summary of the family: 5.8S ribosomal RNA (5.8S rRNA) is a component of the large subunit of the eukaryotic ribosome. Lineage: Eukaryota; Fungi; Ascomycota; Dipodascomycetes; Dipodascales; Trichomonascaceae. The record is from RNAcentral.